RNAcentral lists this ribosomal RNA (500 nucleotides) under Burkholderia sp. EPN27. RNAcentral describes it as "bacterial SSU rRNA". It matches the Rfam family "Bacterial small subunit ribosomal RNA", at positions 1 to 503 of the family's 1533-position model. Lineage: Bacteria; Pseudomonadati; Pseudomonadota; Betaproteobacteria; Burkholderiales; Burkholderiaceae. The record is from RNAcentral.
UAUGGUUGAUCCUGGCUCAGAUUGAACGCUGGCGGCAUGCCUUACACAUGCAAGUCGAACGGCAGCACGGGAGCAAUCCUGGUGGCGAGUGGCGAACGGGUGAGUAAUACAUCGGAACGUGUCCUGUAGUGGGGGAUAGCCCGGCGAAAGCCGGAUUAAUACCGCAUACGCUCUACGGAGGAAAGGGGGGGAUCUUAGGACCUCUCGCUACAGGGGCGGCCGAUGGCAGAUUAGCUAGUUGGUGGGGUAAAGGCCUACCAAGGCGACGAUCUGUAGCUGGUCUGAGAGGACGACCAGCCACACUGGGACUGAGACACGGCCCAGACUCCUACGGGAGGCAGCAGUGGGGAAUUUUGGACAAUGGGCGCAAGCCUGAUCCAGCAAUGCCGCGUGUGUGAAGAAGGCCUUCGGGUUGUAAAGCACUUUUGUCCGGAAAGAAAACCUCUGGGUUAAUACCCCGGGGGGAUGACGGUACCGGAAGAAUAAGCACCGGCUAACUA